UAAACUACAACCAAAAAACUGGUGAAGCC
RNAcentral lists this non-coding RNA (29 nucleotides) under Rattus norvegicus (Norway rat). The record is from RNAcentral. Lineage: Eukaryota; Metazoa; Chordata; Mammalia; Rodentia; Muridae.